This 492-nucleotide ribosomal RNA is filed under the name uncultured bacterium. Its description in RNAcentral is "partial 16S ribosomal RNA". It matches the Rfam family "Bacterial small subunit ribosomal RNA", at positions 29 to 507 of the family's 1533-position model. The record is from RNAcentral.
AGUGAACGCUGGCGGUAGGCCUAACACAUGCAAGUCGAACGGCAGCACAGUAAGAGCUUGCUCUUACGGGUGGCGAGUGGCGGACGGGGGAGGAAUACAUCGGAAUCUACUUUUUCGUGGGGGAUAACGUAGGGAAACUUACGCUAAUACCGCAUACGACCUACGAGGGAAAGCAGGGGAUCGUCGGACCUGGCGCGAUUGAAUGAGCCGAUGUCGGAUUAGCUAGUUGGCGGGGUAGAGGCCAACCAAGGCGACGAUCCGUAGCUGGUCUGAGGGGAUGAUUCGCUACCUGGGAACUGAGGCACGGCCGAGACUCCUACGCUGGGCCGCAGUCGGGACUCCUGCACGAGGCGGCAAUGCCUGAUCCAGCCCUACCGCGUCGGUGCAGAAGGCGCCCUGGUGCUAGAGUCCUGUUGUUGGUAGAGAAAAGAAGCAGGUUCAUCUCCCGCUGUUCUGACGGUACCAAAAGAAUAAGCCCCGGCUAACUCCGUG